RNAcentral lists this unclassified non-coding RNA (171 nucleotides) under uncultured fungus. RNAcentral's name for it is "sequence contains ITS1". Lineage: Eukaryota; Fungi. The record is from RNAcentral.
UUAAAAAUUUGUUUUUUCCUCAGACUACAUGUACAAGAGUAUAUACACUCUGGCGGGCAUCGGCCAGGCCUAAACCCGCCAAAGCAACAGUGGUAUGGUAAUCAGGGUGGGAGAUGUACCCCGGAGGGCAGUUUCUCUCUAAUGAUCCUUCCGCAGGUUCACCUACGGAAA